This is a long non-coding RNA of Ictidomys tridecemlineatus (thirteen-lined ground squirrel), 2038 nucleotides long. RefSeq lists it as uncharacterized. Lineage: Eukaryota; Metazoa; Chordata; Mammalia; Rodentia; Sciuridae. The record is from RefSeq and is a predicted model, not a curated record.
UGGCGGUAACUCACGUCCACGUGGCUCUGCGCCAAGAGAAAUGCCUAUGGAAGGGAAAGCCCUUUCUGAACGGAGGGCUGACUGCCUUUGUGAAAGAUGAGAAGACAAAGCCUAAUACUGUGAAACCUCUUUAGAACAUUUUCCAGGGAACUGAGCAUUCUGAAUGUUCUACGUGGGAACACAUGCGCGGGGCGAGCGGCACAAUGAGGGCAUUUCACUGCACUUCCCGGGGCCAGACAUUCCAGCGCACCCAGCGCAGGAGCCAGUGGCCCGGCUGCAACACGAGACGGGCACGGGCUCAGGAAAGCUCCCCUGGCGCCCCCGCCCCCACUCUGUGGUUGUGCAAAAUGGUCAAUUACUUCGUCUGAAACAGAGGCCACGUCUGUUCUCCAAUGCUGUGCUUUGGGCGCGGCCUGAGACUAUCCGAUGUUUAAGUUGGUUCAGGUGGCCCAGGGAAAAGGCAAAACAGUACUUUCACAGACUGCAGAAAGCAUCUGAGAAUAAACGAACAUCUCAGAGGGAAGUGAACCAAGCUGAGAAGCUGAGGUCAUCCUUACUCUUUACAGCCUCUAUUCAGCAUGUGCGUGAUCCCAAAGAGUCUCUCCCUUCCUGUCACCCAGGACUUGGUUCAGGUGCACAUCCUCAUCUUGGCUUUCCCAGACGACUUCAAAACUACCCUGACACCAGGCAGCUCCUCAAGCCCACUCCACUCUCCACUCAAUGGAAGGAAGUUAGGUCAUUGGGGGUGCCCUUGAGGGAGCCACUGGGAUCCUGCCCCUUCCUGUCUCUCUUUGCUUCCCAGACACCAUGAGCUUUUUUUCUCUUUUGGCUCUCAGAAUUGCUAACCCUAAGCCUGUGAAGCUGAAGACUACACUUCCCAUUAUGGGUUAAUGAGAGGUCCCCUCUCAAAAGUCAAGAGCUCCUUUUCUGCUUAAGUUAUGAAAAAAUUACUAUUCUUCAUUUAGGUUUCUCCUUCCUUUCUCUUUCCGGCAUCAUUAAAACCACCAGCCAACAGGGCACAUUGGUGUGCAUCUGUGAUCCCAGUGAUUCAGGAGGCUGAGGCAGGAGGAUCACUUGAGCCCAGGAGUUGGAGGCAGCCUGGUAAUAUGGCAAGACCCGUGUCUCUGAUGAACAACAACAACAAAACUGCAACAACUGACAUACUCAGAUGAACAGAUUCCUCUCCUCUACUAAGAACUUUGCCACCUAGAUGCCUUGGAAGAUGGGAGUUCCAGCACACAAAUAGGGAAUUUUCAGAGAGGGAUGCUUUCAAUUAGCUAUACAGAGCCCUUGACUAUAGUAAUUAUAAUUAGCUCACCUAAUUAUAAAAAAGCUUACAGAAGCUUCUGCACAUAAAGAAGAGUGUGAUGAGGAUCAGGACCAAAGAUGAUCAAGAACGCCACAAGGACUGACUGACCUUGUUGCCCACAUGGGAGAAACAGAAUCUGCUUCCUGUUAGAAGGGUGGAGUGGUCAAAAGGGUGGAGAAAAGAGGGGGAAAGGUGGAGAGAAGUGCUGUUUGUGUACAUUUUUGCGUAUGUGUCUACGCUGUCUGUCUCAGGUCAGGUUCUCUGGAAGUGUGAGGGAGGCAAGAUGGUUAUUUCAGUUAUACACAUGUGAAGGAAAAGGGGAGGAAGCAGUAUUGAGCUGAGGAAGAAGUUGGGUUGGGGGACCCAACAAAAACUGUCCCGGAGGUGAAAAAGUUUCCCAUAGCUACCUGGAAUGAUUGCCUCCGCCCCCCAUUUCACUUAGUCACUGGACACAGACUGUGCCAUUAGGGCUUGACCUCAGACAGAGGAGGCAGCUCUCUGCAGCUGCAGCCCUUGUGAGGGCGCUGAUAACCGGAGACAGCCCUCCCUGCAGCAGGGAUACAAGCUCUUCCUUGAAGGGGGACGUCGGUAGGCAUCUCUCUGCCUACCAUACUAGUAAAGCUCUCUGUGGUUAAUAUAGUAUUUUUGUUCUUAUUGUAGUUCUCAACAGACCAGAGGUAUUACACAUUUCAGUAAAAAAAAAAAAAAGAAAGAAAAAAACAUAUUUAG